This 407-nucleotide ribosomal RNA is filed under the name uncultured bacterium. Its description in RNAcentral is "partial 16S ribosomal RNA". It matches the Rfam family "Bacterial small subunit ribosomal RNA", at positions 30 to 526 of the family's 1533-position model. The record is from RNAcentral.
AUUGAACGCUGGCGGCAGGCCUAACACAUGCAAGUCGAGCGGAGCGGCGGACGGGUGAGUAAUGCCUAGGAAUCUGCCUGGUACUGGGGGAUAACGUCCGGAAACGGGCGCUAAUAUCGUAUCCUUUUUGAUGAGCCUAGGUCGGUUUAGCUAGUUGGUGGGGUAAAGGCCUACCAAGGCGACGACCCGUAACUGGUCUGAGAGGAUGAUCAGUCACACUGGAACUGAGAGACGGGCCAGACUCCUACGGGAGGCAGCAGUGGGGAAUAUUGGACAAUGUGCGAAAGCCUGAUCCAGCCAUGCCGCGUGUGUGAAGAAGGUCUUCAGAGUGUAAAGCACUUUAAGUUGGGAGGCGUUACCAACAGAAUAAGCACCGGCUAACUUCGUGCCAGCCGCCGCGGUAAUAC